CAGCCAGCGCAAUCACCACCAUGCCGUCGGGCGCGCGUCCGGCCUUGCGCCGUCCGGCCAUGCCCAGCAUUCCGCUGUCGAUUCCGCCGCCACCACCGUCAGUGGCCUCGCUGCCGCUGGCGCCCGUGAGUGUGUCGGUCGUGCGGCUCCCAUCAACGUCGCGGUUGGUGCUGCCCGUGGCGCCGGGCAUAUAGUGCGUGGCAGACGACGACGACGAAUCGGACGCGCCAUAGGGUCGCGCGUCUUGCACGAGGCCGGCUAGUUCACCCAGUUCGCUGAGCACGCCCAAAAAGGUUGGGCGCGCCGAUGGAUCCGUGUCCCAGCAUGACCUGUAGAGACCCACAUAGGCAGCGACGAUGGCCCGCGGCAUGGCCUCGUUCUCGACGGCCGCCGAGAUAUCGUCCUCGGGCUCGUAGCGCGCCGCGUCAAACACGUCGACGCCCUCGGCGGCGAGGGCCGCACGGGCGACGUGCGCGUCGGGCCGCAUGCCGUCGCGCAUGACCGCCACCUGGAUGGCCGCCGGGCUGCACCCUCGGUAGGGCGAGUCGCGCGUGAGCAACUCCCACAGGACGAUGCCAAACGAGUAGACGUCGGCGGCCUGCACGUCGGCCUCGUCGCCGCCCGACGCCCAGCGGAUGCGCUCUGGCGCUGCCCAGUGCACAGUGCCCAGGUUGUGAUGUUGCUGUUGCUGGUGUUGAGCGUCGACUCCGCCGAUGAGGCCGCCGCCCUUGCCAUUGUUGCCGUUGUUGUUGCCGCCGCGCAUCGACGAGAGGCCAAAGUCGCUCACCUUGGUCUGCCACUUUUCCGUGAUCAAGAUGUUGAGCGACUUGAGGUCGCCGUGGCUGAUGCCCGACGAGUGCAGAAAGUGCAUGCCCUUGGCGGCGUGAUGGGCGAUGGCCACCUUCAACUUGAACGGGAUCUGCACCAAGAGUUCAUUAUCGAGCACGUCGCGCAGCGAUCCGAGCGCCAUGUGCUCCAUGACGAUGGCGAGCACGGGCGGGCGCGUCGACGCGCCCAUAAACAUGACCACGUGCGGGUGACGCAGGGUGCACAUCACCCUGACCUCUUCGGAAAAGUGGGCCAGCGCGGUGCGGUCCCACCCGCGGGCGGGCGUGUGGAAGCGCUUGACGGCGACGCGCGUGCCGCGCCACGUGCCCUCGAAUACGUUGGACGUCGCGCCGGCGCCCAGGUCGCGCAGGAUGGUGAUCUCCUCGGGGUCAAUCUCGCAGCCCGAGUCGAGCGCGCGGCGGCGCGCGCCCCGGUGACGCACGACCACGAGCGCGGCCACGAGCAGCACCAAAAGGACGAUGCCACAGCAGACCGGCACCGCCACGCCGACGGCAAUGCCCACGAUGACCGAGGUCGACACGCCGUCGUCUCUUGAUGUGGAAUCCGCAUCGACCGUUUCGCAGUGGGCGCCCGUCCAGCCGGCAUCACACGAGCACGCAACGGCAGACCAUGUCGUUGUCGUUGUUGGCGGUGUCGAUGGCGACGCGCUGGCAAGGCACUUGCCGUGGUUGGCACACACGGUGACGGCCACCGCCGGGUCGGCAGCGUCUGGCGGCACAUAGAGACAUGGCGCCACGCCGAGUACCUGGACAGGCUCACCCGCGCUCGAUAAGCACGUGACGUCGGCGAGCGCCGAGAUGAUGCGCGCGGCGGCCGCCGGUCCCGCGGCGCGCGCCGACGUGGCGAGGCCCUGUGCGGCCGCCACUGUCACGCCAUCGUCAGACGUCUGGGUCCAGUAAAAGGCAUCAACGAGGCCGGCCGCCUUGGCACAGUCGGGCGUCGUCUCACGGUGCAUGUAGGCAUGGUGCCACCCGAGAAUGGGCCAGGCGCCAGCAGUCGCCGCACCCACCAUCAUCGUGGGCAGGCCGGCAAAGGGGAGGGUCGCAUUGGCCCUUGGCGCAUGUGAUGAUGACUGCGGUAGAGAUGAUGUUGAUGAUGUCAUUGGGGAAUAGGCCGUGGCACGACGUGCAGGACUGCGGGCAACAAAGUCGUCGAGAACAAAGUCGGCCGUGGCCAGGGCCAAGGCAUCGGCCUUGGGCGACACGCGGUUGCCGUUGGCGUCGCGCAGGUCGGCCACGCUCGGAUUGCGCGCCGCGAGGGCGGCCUCGAUGGCAUCAACGCCCACCGAAUAGAGCGUGGCUUUGACGGCCGCGGCGACGUGAUCCCCGGCCACAAGAAUGCGCGCGGGCGCCGACGAUUCAAGGGGGUAGACAAUCGAGGCGAGCCCUGUCGUCGUCGCCGAUCCAUUAAGCACCUCGGCACGAAAUGCGGCAUCGGCCGCCAUGUACUCGGCGGCAAAGCGGUUGGCCACACCGCCGAGCGGGCCGCCGGCGCCCGAUGCCGUGCCGCCCUUGGCCAGCGCGACGAUGAUCUGGCGGCCGGGCAAGAGUUCGGCGAGCGACGGGUUGGCUGCCACAAUGUCCACGUGGUUCCACACGUCGAUACGACCCAGGAAGAUGCCGGCCAAGAGGUUGGCGUCCAAGAGCAGGGACACCCCCGCACGCGCAAUCUCGGGCACAUUGUAGAUGGCGGCAUAGGGUCGCACGGCCAUCGGCACCGACAUGCAGUCGACACAGGCCGCCGCCAGUACGGGCGUCAGAUCGGUGGCACCCGCCGACGUCACGGCAAAGUCGACGCCAUACAAGGCGAGUCGCGAGAUGGCCUCGUCCUCGCCGUCCUCGGCCAACUUGAGGCGCGUGGCAGAGGCGGCGCCCACACGAGACGCAUAGGCCUGCAUCCAGCCCGACCACACGAGCGACGUCGUGCCGGCACCGACGAGGGCGGCCGCCGCGACGCGUGUCGUGCCCACAGCGGUCACGGUAGUGGUGGUCGUGCCCGUGGCGGCAGCGGUCACGGCAGUGGUCGUGCCCGUGAUAGUGGCAGUGGUCGUACGGGUGUCUUGUGUGGCUCCAUCCAUUGGGUCGGCCUCGGUGGUUCCGUUGUAAAGAGUCGACGACGAUGAUGGGGCCAUGUCGCCCGACGAUCCAGAGGAAGAAAAAGAGCCACAGAGCGAAAUGGCGCCCAUCAUGUCGGUGGCCCGCUGGCGAAAGUUGCUCGACAGCGGGACCAGGCCGCGCGAGGCCAGCGUGGCCGCCAGCGCGCCGUCGUUGAUUUCGAGCCAGGCGAGAAAGUCGAGCGCGGCCUCGGCAUACUGGCAGUCGUAGCCGGCCGGGAUUGCGUCUGUGCGCAACACCGCCGUAACGAGACCCACGACGGGCCACGUGUUGGGGUCGUCCAAGUUGGACAGGCCCAGCACGCCCGUGUUGUAGGGGAUGUUGCGCAGGGCGAGUGCGUCAUAGGUGUUCAGGGCUGCAUGCGCGGCCGAAGGCAUCCAGCCGAAAAAGAACCGGCCGGCGCGGUUGGUGAGCAUGGGCCGCAUGUACGGAGCCGUCGCCGGGUCGCCUCCUAUCGUGUACGCAAUGACGCCGUCGCCCGAUGCCAAGGCCGCCGUGGUCGACGCAAAGAGGCGCGCACCCGUUACGGGAUCGUAGACGGGACCGGAAGGCGUCGUCCCGGCGGGCACAACGACCGACCAGGUCACGGGAUCGACCAGGAGGGUGCGGUUGAUGCCCGCCGUGGCCAAGACGAGAGCGGCGAGGUCACCGCCGUGGGCAGCAUACGCAUCGGCAAAGGCCGGACUGGCCGACGAUAGGGCCUGCGCAAAGGUGGCGCCGAGCGAGGCCGCCUCGGUUUCGAGAGAUCCGGUGGGAAAGCGCUCGACGGCAAUGAGGACCUCGCCCGGCGGUAGCAUGUCGGGCGUGGCGCCGCUGCCGGCCCCAAAGGCCGGGUCGUCCCAGCGCGUGAUCGUACCCGCCCACACGGCGGCAAAUAGGGGCAGGCCGUCAAAGAUGACCAUGGACGAACCGCCGGCAAACGAAUAGACAACCUCGACGCCAUAGGCCGCCACGGGCAACUGUACGCGCCCGGCCAGCGCACGCGGGACCUGCGCGGCCAAGAGCACGGCGUCGCAUCGACCCGAGUCAUAGUCGGCCAUCGCCGUGGCGGCGUCGGUGCCGAGACGCUGGACGGCCACGUCGUCGACUGUAAAGACAUAGGCCGAGGCCACGACGUCGAGGGCGUCGCCGCCCACUGCGGUGCCCUCAAACAGCAGGGUCUUGGUGGGCGUCACGGGCAGAAUCGACGUGUCGUCGGUCUGGUCAAGAGGCAGGCAUACGGGGUCGGCGAUGACCGCCCUGGAUGCCAGUGCCAACAACAAUAGCACCAAGACUGCCAUAGAGGCCUAGAAGAAGAUGCAAUCCACGCCACCGCAGACAAAAAAACACCGACGUUGGGAUCAGGGAACCAAGGGCCAGCGGCGGACAGGCGCGCAAGCAACGAACGGGGGCAGCGACGUACCCAGAGGAUGCGGCAACGGGAGAAGAGCAUGUCGCCAGAGUGGCGACGCGUCAAGGGCACGGUCAUUGUAAUGUAUGAUCGAUCCCGUGCGGUCGGACGAUGGCGAUGGCGGCGACGGGGAUAAAGGUGGGGUAGUAGUACAGACAAACACGGGUCCUCGCAGUAGGAUCAGUAUUCUUGGCGUCGAUUCCGGUGUCGUCGCGUGUAUGUGUGUAGGUUGUGCGCAAGAGAGGCCGACAGACUCUAAAAAAAGGAGGAGACGACAAGCAAGGAAGGGUAUAUGUCGUCUGUCUGUGCCUGUGCGUGCAUACUGGAGGCAGACCACGCGGCCGCGCCUUUAUGGACCACACAACCCUAUGGGCUCGUCCAAUCCGCACCGUCUAUCCCUUUUUGGCCACACAAAUAGCACCAGGGUUCGUCGGCUCGAAGCAACGGUUGGACUGCUACGGUCUGUUUUCACGCCGGCAUACGGAACUCGAUCGGGGUGUCUGAUCGUGUGGCGGGACACGCAGCGGUUGCCAGCCGACGGUGGUUUUGUCGAUUUCGCGCCCUCUUCCGAUACGACAGCCUCUGCACGUGGGCCUUGACCCCCUACCCCAAACCCUGGGCAAAAGAAUGGUCCCCCUAUUUUGCCUCAUCACCAUACACGCGCUACCGCUCCCUUUUUUCCUCGGUGGCGACAACCACGCACAGGCGGCCGCCCCCUCACAAUGCCCGCGGCUACAGCACCCGCGACCGCGAAAAGAGAAAAAAGGCCAACAAGAAAAGAAUCUGUCUCUUUGUUUUUUUUUCAACUAUAUUUUUUAACGGG
This 5176-nucleotide long non-coding RNA is filed under the name Pandoravirus quercus. RNAcentral describes it as "hypothetical ncRNA". The record is from RNAcentral.